CGGUAUCUUGACCGUGCAAAGGUAGCAUAAUCACUUGUCUCCUAAAUAGAGACUGGUAUGAACGGCAAGACGGAGCUAAACUGUCUCUUUUUUUAGCCCUUAAAUUUACUUUCACGUGAAGAGGCGUGAAUAAAAUCGAUAGACGAGAAGACCCUGUCGAGCUUAAAGUAAAAAGUAAAAUUAUUAUUAGGAGUUAAAAAUCUCUAAUUAAUAACUUUAAGAAAUUGAAUUCUUUUAUGUUUACUUUAACUUUGGUUGGGGCAACCGCGGAAAAAGAAAACCUUCCGCUAGUAUAACUAUUAAACUAAGGAAAACCAUCCUAUUAUCUAAAACGAACACGUGAUCCACUUAAGGUGAUCAAAGGAACAAGUUACCGCAGGGAUAACAGCGUUAUCUUUUUUGAGAGUUCACAUUGACAAAAAGGUUUGCGACCUCGAUGUUGGAUCGGGACAUCCCAAGGGU
Molecule: ribosomal RNA, 462 nt
Filed under: Temnopleurus reevesii
Lineage: Eukaryota; Metazoa; Echinodermata; Echinoidea; Temnopleuroida; Temnopleuridae
Description: partial 16S ribosomal RNA
Rfam family: Bacterial large subunit ribosomal RNA
Source: RNAcentral